RNAcentral lists this ribosomal RNA (138 nucleotides) under Pseudoalteromonas sp. MSK9-3. Its description in RNAcentral is "partial 23S ribosomal RNA". The stretch from base 1 to 117 matches the Rfam family "Bacterial large subunit ribosomal RNA", at positions 2813 to 2925 of the family's 2925-position model. Lineage: Bacteria; Pseudomonadati; Pseudomonadota; Gammaproteobacteria; Alteromonadales; Pseudoalteromonadaceae. The record is from RNAcentral.
ACUAGAGCUAUAAGCUCUCUGAAGGGCCGUUGGAGACUACAACGUUGAUAGGCUGGGUGUGGAAGCAUGGUGACAUGUUAAGCUAACCAGUACUAAUUACCCGUGAGGCUUAACCAUACAACGCCAAAGUGGUUUAAG